UUCGGGGUACUCGAGUGGCGAACGGGUGAGUAACACGUGGGUGAUCUGCCCUGCACUUUGGGAUAAGCCUGGGAAACUGGGUCUAAUACCGAAUAGGACCACGCGCUUCAUGGUGUGUGGUGGAAAGCUUUUGCGGUGUGGGAUGGGCCCGCGGCCUAUCAGCUUGUUGGUGGGGUAAUGGCCUACCAAGGCGACGACGGGUAGCCGGCCUGAGAGGGUGACCGGCCACACUGGGACUGAGAUACGGCCCAGACUCCUACGGGAGGCAGCAGUGGGGAAUAUUGCACAAUGGGCGCAAGCCUGAUGCAGCGACGCCGCGUGAGGGAUGACGGCCUUUCGGGUUGUAAACCUCUUUCAAUAGGGACGAAGCGCAAGUGACGGUACCUAUAGAAGAAGCACCGGCCAACUACGUGCCAGCAGCCGCGGUAAUACGUAGGGUGCGAGCGUUGUCCGGAAUUACUGGGCGUAAAGAGCUCGUAGGUGGUUUGUCGCGUUGUUCGUGAAAACUCACAGCUUAACUGUGGGCGUGCGGGCGAUACGGGCAGACUAGAGUACUGCAGGGGAGACUGGAAUUCCUGGUGUAGCGGUGGAAUGCGCAGAUAUCAGGAGGAACACCGGUGGCGAAGGCGGGUCUCUGGGCAGUAACUGACGCUGAGGAGCGAAAGCGUGGGGAGCGAACAGGAUUAGAUACCCUGGUAGUCCACGCCGUAAACGGUGGGUACUAGGUGUGGGUUCCUUCCUUGGGAUCCGUGCCGUAGCUAACGCAUUAAGUACCCCGCCUGGGGAGUACGGCCGCAAGGCUAAAACUCAAAGGAAUUGACGGGGGCCCGCACAAGCGGCGGAGCAUGUGGAUUAAUUCGAUGCAACGCGAAGAACCUUACCUGGGUUUGACAUGCACAGGACGCCGGCAGAGAUGUCGGUUCCCUUGUGGCCUGUGUGCAGGUGGUGCAUGGCUGUCGUCAGCUCGUGUCGUGAGAUGUUGGGUUAAGUCCCGCAACGAGCGCAACCCUUGUCCUAUGUUGCCAGCGGGUUAUGCCGGGGACUCGUAGGAGACUGCCGGGGUCAACUCGGAGGAAGGUGGGGAAUGACGUCAAGUCAUCAUGCCCCUUAUGUCCAGGGCUUCACACAUGCUACAAUGGCCGGUACAAAGGGCUGCGAUGCCGUGAGGUGGAGCGAAUCCUUUCAAAGCCGGUCUCAGUUCGGAUCGGGGUCUGCAACUCGACCCCGUGAAGUCGGAGUCGCUAGUAAUCGCAGAUCAGCAACGCUGCGGUGAAUACGUUCCCGGGCCUUGUACACACCGCCCGUCACGUCAUGAAAGUCGGUAACACCCGAAGCCANU
RNAcentral lists this ribosomal RNA (1339 nucleotides) under Mycobacterium sp. DWMJ-1090B2. RNAcentral describes it as "bacterial SSU rRNA". It matches the Rfam family "Bacterial small subunit ribosomal RNA", at positions 81 to 1431 of the family's 1533-position model. The record is from RNAcentral. Lineage: Bacteria; Bacillati; Actinomycetota; Actinomycetes; Mycobacteriales; Mycobacteriaceae.